RNAcentral lists this ribosomal RNA (269 nucleotides) under uncultured bacterium. Its description in RNAcentral is "partial 16S ribosomal RNA". It matches the Rfam family "Bacterial small subunit ribosomal RNA", at positions 87 to 354 of the family's 1533-position model. The record is from RNAcentral.
UUAUUUUAGCGGCGGACGGGUGAGUAACGUGUGGGCAACCUGCCUUUUACUGGGGAAUAAUCACUGGAAACGGUGACUAAUACCGCAUAAUAUUCUUGGAAGGCAUCUUCCGAGAAGGAAAGGAAAUAUUCGGUAAAAGAUGGGCCCGCAUCUGAUUAGCUAGUUGGUGAGAUAACAGCCCACCAAGGCGACGAUCAGUAGCCGACCUGAGAGGGUGACCGGCCACAUUGGGACUGAGACACGGCCCAAACUCCUACGGAAGGCAGCAG